Molecule: ribosomal RNA, 98 nt
Filed under: Opitutia bacterium
Lineage: Bacteria; Pseudomonadati; Verrucomicrobiota; Opitutia
Description: partial 16S ribosomal RNA
Rfam family: Bacterial small subunit ribosomal RNA
Source: RNAcentral
UCUUUUGGAGAGUUUGAUCCUGGCUCAGAGUGAACGCUGGCGGCAUGGUUAAGACAUGCAAGUCGAACGAAAAGCAAAUCUUCGGAUUUGCGGAAAGU